RNAcentral lists this long non-coding RNA (669 nucleotides) under Nannospalax galili (Upper Galilee mountains blind mole rat). RNAcentral describes it as "lncRNA (ENSNGAG00000024604.1)". The record is from RNAcentral. Lineage: Eukaryota; Metazoa; Chordata; Mammalia; Rodentia; Spalacidae.
GCCGAGACCGAGACCGGGAGCAGCGGCGCCGCCGAGGUCCAGGCGGCGACGCGCCCCGGGCCCUGUUGGCCGCCCAGCGCGGCUCUUCGUCCUCUUCGUCGCCGCCGCCGUCCGCUCGACCCUGGUCGUCAGCUUCCUCUGGAGAGCGGCCUGGGGGCCUGAGACGGCGGCGGCCUCGUCCCAGGCCUCGGCCACCGAGGCCGCGAGCUCGGAAGCGGCCUGCCGGUUCGGGCAGCCGCGGGGAGGAAGAGGAGGAGGAGGAAGAAGGGGGUGCAGACGACGGGGAAGCCGAGGAGGAGCCUGAGGAGGAGGAAGAAGAGGAGGAGGACUUGAUCGAUGGCUUUGCCAUCGCUAGCUUCGCCAGCCUUGAGGCCUUGCAGAAGGAUGCAUCUCUUCAGCCCCCAGAGCGACUGGAACAUCGGCUGAAGCAUUCUGGGAAACGGAAGAGGGGGGGCUCCAGUGGGGCCACUGGGGAGCUAGGGGACAGCUCAGAUCGUGAGCCUGGCCGGCCCCCUGGGGAUCGGCCCCGAAAAUGGCCCAAUAAGCGGAGAAGGAAAGAGGUGAGCUUGUCCCAGUUCCCAAUCCUUUAAAAUUCCUUAAGCAGCAUAUCAUUCAUGUAGAUUGGUUUUCCAUCAACAUUGCAACUGUCCAUCCUAAGAGCCAGGAGUA